GAUGAACGCUGGCGGCGUGCCUAAUACAUGCAAGUCGAGCGAACGGACGAGAAGCUUGCUUCUCUGAUGUUAGCGGCGGACGGGUGAGCAACACGUGGAUAACCUACCUAUAAGACUGGGAUAACUUCGGGAAACCGGAGCUAAUACCGGAUAAUAUUUUGAACCGCAUGGUUCAAAAGUGAAAGACGGUCUUGCUGUCACUUAUAGAUGGAUCCGCGCUGCAUUAGCUAGUUGGUAAGGUAACGGCUUACCAAGGCAACGAUGCAUAGCCGACCUGAGAGGGUGAUCGGCCACACUGGAGCUGAGACACGGUCCAGCCUCCUACGUGAGGCAGCAGUAGGGAAUCUUCCGCAAUGGGCGAAAGCCUGACGGAGCAACGCCGCGUGAGUGAUGAAGGGCUUCGGAUCGUAAAACUCUGUUAUUAGGGAAGAACAUAUGUGUAAGUAACUGUGCACAUCUUGACGGUACCUAAUCAGAAAGCCACGGCUAACUACGU
RNAcentral lists this ribosomal RNA (496 nucleotides) under uncultured bacterium. RNAcentral's name for it is "partial 16S ribosomal RNA". It matches the Rfam family "Bacterial small subunit ribosomal RNA", at positions 28 to 506 of the family's 1533-position model. The record is from RNAcentral.